This is a small nuclear RNA of Macaca fascicularis (crab-eating macaque), 107 nucleotides long. NCBI's taxonomy places the organism in Eukaryota, Metazoa, Chordata, Mammalia, Primates, Cercopithecidae. The record is from Ensembl.
GCGCUUGCUUUGGCAGCACAUACACUAAAAUUGGAACAAUAUAGAGAAGAUUAGCAUGGCCCCUGGGCAAGGGUGACACACAAAUUCGUGAAGCAUUCCAUAUUUUU